Long non-coding RNA from Columba livia (rock pigeon), 18439 nucleotides. RefSeq lists it as uncharacterized. The record is from RefSeq and is a predicted model, not a curated record. NCBI's taxonomy places the organism in Eukaryota, Metazoa, Chordata, Aves, Columbiformes, Columbidae. The transcript has 12 exons.
GGAAAAGACGCUCAAGAUCAUCAAGUCCAAUCGUUAACCCAACACUGGUGCUAAACCAUGUCCCUGAGAACCUCAUCUAUGUGUCUUUUAAACACCUCCAGGGAUGGUGACUCCACCACUGCCCUGGGCGGCCUGUUCAAUGCAAUUGGAUAUUGUUCUCAAUAUCCAAUCUGAACCUCCACUGAUGCAAUUUGAGGCCAUUUCCUCUUGUCCUAUUGCUUGUUACUUGGGACAAGAGACCAACAACCUCCAUGCUACAACCUCCUUUCAGGUAGUUGUAGAGAGCAAUAAGGUCUCCCCUCAGCCUCCUGUUCUCCAGGCUAAACAGACCCAGAUCCCCCAGCUGCUCCUCAUCAGAUUUGUGCUCCAGACCCUUCACCAACUUUGUUGCUCUCCUCUGAACUCGCUCCAGCACCCCAAGGUCUUUCUUGUCAUGAGGGACCCAAAACUGAACACAGGGUUCAAGGUUUGGCCUCACCAGUGCCCAGUCUAGAGGGACGAUGCCUUCCCUGGUCCUGCUGGCCACACUAGUCUGGUACAAGCCGGGAUGCUGUCGGCCUUUUAAGUCACCUGGGCGCUAGCUCCUUGUUGAGGCUACCCUCCCUUCCAACCCUAACCAUUCUGUGAUUCUGUGAAGAAAAAAUGAGAAAAUGAAGAGGCCACAUUCGUUCUUGUCCAACCUGGCUACUGUCAUGAUAUAGGAGCAUACUGUCUGCUUUGGUAAUUAAAACACUACUUGCAAGGGAUACCAGAAGAACAAAGGAAUGAAAAUAAGAUGGUUUCUCUUGAGUGUGAAUGUGCCAUGCAUGCAUCACACAAGCUAUGCAGGCUUUAGGCUUGCCUUUCAACAGCCCUGCCAUUCCAGGAUGGGCCUCUUUCCUGAACAGACACUGUCUGUUGAGCCAAACUAUAUGACUGUUUUGUGAUAUGGAUAAAUGUGGGGACUAAAUGAAGGACAUUAAACUCAAUUUCCUGAAGACAUGAGCCAGAUUUUAAUAUUGCAGCUGUCCAGAGGUGAAAGGGUAAUGAGGACAUGAGGAAUUCCUGGAUGGCAAAGGGACACUUGGCCCAACAAGUCUGUCCCCCUUCAAGUUUAUUACAACACACCUCCCUGCAUUGUCGAUAUAUCCUCCAGUCCUAUCUGUCUAUAUAAACAUGUCUGGCUAUCUCUUCUGCUCAUUAAUACUUCGGUUCACUCAGUGGUUUUAUUUAACAUAAUUCCUGCUACACUGUGAAUAGGAUAGCUCUACGUGAAUUUACUGUUUAUUCUUAGACCUUUCAUUUUUAAUUGGCCUUUUUUAUUUUUUUCCUUUUUAAACUCACCAGAUACAACCACUACUUCAGUUUUCAUCCUAAUUAUGAAAAUGUUAAUGUUUAGGUCUUUUUUAGAAAGGAUUAAGCUCAGCCUUCAUUUAUAUCAAGCAUCUUUAACAGCCAGAAACAACGAUUGCUUCAUAUCUUAUUCCUAUUUGAGUCACUGAAGUUCUUCUCUGGAAAAGGUGAUCAAAAUUGGAAUUAUUGGAGAAAAUCUAUCACGUUCCUUGUGUGAUAACAGUCCUUUUGAUUUUCGGGCUAUCCUUUGCUGGAGUGUCCAUACCACACUUUAUUUAUUCUGAAUUGGCAUUCAUUCAAAAUUGAUGUUUGACAGAUUCAGUACAAUUUUUAAGGUGGAGCGGGAGUUUCCGUAGUCAAGUAUUAACUUAAAAUGAUCUCCUAAAGUCAAGAAACAGCUUUGAAGGCUGGUGGAAGGAAAAAAGAAACCCAAGAAAUCAGUAACAUUACAAAUAUUUCUAACUAUUAGCUCAUCUUCAUUUAUUAAAGACUAUCUCCCUUUAAAUUUUCUGCUAGCAAAGUUGAGAGCAAAUUAGCAUACAGAUGCUUCCUCAGAAGGCCAACAUGUUAAAAAACCUGGGUUUUUCCCUUCCUCUGAGGCAACCCAAAGGAGAAUGUCAUUAAAGAUCUGAGUAUAAUCAUAGCAAGAGAAAUACAAGUUGCAAAUAAACCUGCGUGAUUUUGAAAUUUCAAAGAUGGCUGGUAGAACAAAAAUAUCUGCGUGAAGUAUGAAGUGGGAAACAGGCAAAAUAGAUUGCUGCAACACGAGGUCAAGAAGAGACUCUUAAAUUUGUUAUUUAAGUGUGUUGAAAUAGCAGAAUAAUUGUUUACAAUUAUUUCUGAUAUCUAGCUAUGCUCUCUUGUUUAAGUAAGCAACUUGCUUCUACAAUGAAUAGAAGGUUUGAUUUAAAAAAAACCCCACAAACCCUAUUUAUAUAUUUAUUACAAUUUUCCCCUGCAAAAAAAGGCACUGCUGGCAGAGAUUGUUUAGGGGAAGACAUUCUGCAACCUGUUGAGAAACACUGGGGUUUUUAUUCAGGAACUAAGAUGGUAGCACUGGGUGGAGAGGGAACGUUGAGAAACGUGGAAACAGAAGAAAAAUAAGAAAUCUCUUGGUUUCAGGCAGGUGAAGAAACAGUUCUUAUGGAGGGGAAAAGAUGGGCAUGUAGCUGGUAGAAAGAAAACAAAUCAGUGUACAGUAUCAAAUAGGUACAGAAAAAAUCAGAUUUAUAUCCAGGAUCCUCAGUGAAUAAGAAAAACAUGUCAAAGUCUCAAAAAAAUUUACUUUUGCAUUUGGAGGACUGAAUCCAACUUUACCAAGUAGCUGGUAAUCCAAAGAGGGACUGAGAAUCCUCUUUGGGCCUGGGCAGGAUUGCUCUGGGCAACAGGGGAUGUAGAAGACAUUUGCCAUGGCACCUGUUGGAUUGUGAACAGCCAUGGCUUAAAUCCUUGUUUGUUUCAUUCCUAGUCUAAACAUGCUGUUUUGCAAAAGUUAAAAAUAAUGUAGUGACUACCACAAUGUCAGACAGCUCUUUUGUGAGGGUCCUUGCAUAAAGAUAAUAAAGAGAAUAAUUGGUAAAAAAUCUACCAUAGUAAACUGAAAUUUUAAUCUUUGUACAUUUUUGGUAAAUGUUUAUGAGGGCAAAUCUUGUUGGUCUUGCUGCUGGAAUAUGCUCCAUUAAAAUAAUGUUGCAUUAAACCCACCGAGUUUGGCUGUAGCGUUGGACAAGUUUUUUUGGGUAAUGUAGAUGUGAAGGUUGAGAAAAGUAAAGAGCUGCAGUGAGCACAGCCCAUUCUUAACUGCUGUCACAUUUUAUUUAAAUAUCUGGUGAAAUUCUGUGUAGUUACCAUCAGGGAUAAAACAACUGCCAAAAAGCCUUUAGUUAAAUAACCUCAGAUGCUGGAGUGGGUCCGUUCAGCCCUGUUUAGCAACUUUUUAAAUUUCAUUUUAUUUUUUAAUCAACAUUUAUCAGAGGACAUACACUUCUACCAGGUGAAGGACCUAGACAAUGGGCUUCGGACUCCUGGUCUUUCUUUUUUUGCAUCUGUGCGACUUUUCUUUCAUGAACCCAUGUCCAUGUCCAUGAGUGUGUCACAAAUCCCACUGGGAAUGAGGCCAAGAGUCCCAGUGAGCAUAUUCACUUUUCUCUAGGUCCCUAAAACCCCUCCAGGCUUUAGGAGAAGCAGGUCCAUUUUCAAGGAGCACAAGGAAAGUAAAUACAAAGUGUGUUUCUCAGUGAGGAGAUACUGUUGUAAAUGGGAUUUAGGAGCCAUAAUCUCUUUGAUGUUUCUGAAAAAGCAUCAAGAGAGUUGUAAAGGUUCUCCAGUGCAGACCUGAGCUGUGGCAGCAUGGAAAUGAGCCCUGAGGCUUUUGUCCUGUCCCCUGGUCUACUGGUUGUACUGAAGUAGUCUGGACAGGUCUGUCACCCUUGGGGCAGAAAGAGACCGGCAGCACUUCAGAACUACAUGGGGCUUGGGGUCAAGGGAAACAGGAUUAGCUUUGUUAUCCAACUGUUACAGUAAAAGCAUAAGGUAGCCAUCCCUGAGAUAGAAAGUCUUACCCAAACACUCAUCCGUUAAAUUAGGAUUAAAAAAAAAAAAAGUGUUGUGGGGUUUUGUGUGGGGUUUUUUUGUUUGUUUGUGUUUUUGUGUGCAUGUGCAUUUUUGUUUUGUUUUGUUUGUUUGUUUAAUUUCAGAAGACUUCGUAAUCUCCUCUAAACUUCCCAUCUCCUAAGGAUUAAAAAGCUCAAAGCAUCCUCUUGUCUAUUCCUUCCCUUUCCCUCCCGAGCUCCUCCCUUCUCUCCAAGCAGCACCUGGGUCUCCCUCUUCCCUUUGUGUAGAACCCUCCAUCAUUUCUUCCCAUCCUCUGCUCACAUGGAUCACAUUUUCCCAUUUACCAUGGCAUCUGAAAAACCUGUUUACUUUGCUCCAUCUGCUCUGUGCUCCAGCACAGCAGCAAGGUCCUGGCAGUGCUGGAUGCUGCAUUUGGUGAUCUGGAUCUUGCAUUUAUAACUGGGGUUAGACAAGAGUUGCCAGAGCCCCUGUAACUUCUACGUCCCCGGCACAUUUUGCUACGUUACCUUUGAUAUUCGGAUUUAAUUCUUUUACAUAGAUUAGAGACAAGACAAGCUCCUAACCUGACCAAAGCACUAUCCUGUAUUGACUGCCAAUCUCUAAGUCAUUCAGUGAAUGUUGUUUGCAGACCGUUAUCAGUUCAUUAAAGUUUGUUAUCAUUUAUGCAGUGGCCCUGUACCUUGCUGGUAAUCUCCAGUAUAGGAUCUUAUCAAACACUCUUUUGAAAGUCUAGACAUAUUGUAUAGCAUCUAUAGUAUUUUUCUUGUCUACCUUAGGAGGAAUAUCUUUGAAGAAUUCUAACAAAUUAUUUGAGCAAGGUUUCCUGCUCAUAAAUCUGCAGUGGUUGACUCUACUCAAGUUAGAAUUUGCAGCACAUUUCCUCACAAAAUCCUGCAAAAUCAUUCAUUCCUAUUCUAUUUGUCAUAGCUACAAAUUUUGUUAUGUUAAUUUGUUUAUAUUAUGAUUUUAUAUGUAUGUAUGAUUUUAUAUGUAUGUAUUCCUCUGCAUAUGUACACAAAAGUGCGUAUAUGUAACAGAGACUGUAUUGAAGUAUAUUGGGCUUUAAAGCUGAAUAUCUUUAAAUAGUUAAUGCAGUAUAAAAUGCAAAGGAUACAGUUAGGGACAGAUAUUUGGCUGGAGUAAAUGAAUUUGACUUUGAAUACAUUUUACUAACUUAAACGGUGUUAACUUGAUUUGUGUGAGCUGAGGAGUUAACCCUUAUGCACUGCAUUUUUUUUACUUCAGCACCAAGAGAUCAAAAUGACUGUUGGGAUAUUUCUUACCAUUUCUGAUUUAUUAUUUCUCAUGGAUUUCUUCAAGAACUGUAUUUUUAUUUGCUGCAGCAAAGAUAAUUCUUAAUGUUUUCUUAAAUUUUAUAUAUUUCUGUAAUAUUUUGUUUCAGAUUAGUGAUUUCUUAUGCUUUAUUUUUCCAUUAUUUGACUAUUUUAGGAUGUUUGUUAUCCUUCCUGUCUUUCUGUUCACAUGUGUAGGUCUUCCUAUUACAAUGAUGAACGUGGCAAUUUCUGGUAAAUACAGGAUGGUGACUCCACCACUGCCCUGGGCAGCUGUUCCAAUGCCUGACAGCCCUUUCCAGGAAGAAAUUUUUCCUGAUAUCCAAUCUAAACCUCCCCUGGUGCAACAACGGAGAAGAAAUUGCACGAAGCACAGCAUCAGCUACUGGUUCUCACUUUCACAUGAUAAGUUGGUGAUGAAAGUGUGUCCCGUCAAUUUUAACAUUGUCUAAAGGAGCCCUAAACCAUGAAGACACCGGCUUCUUCAAACUUCAGUGGUUGCUGCCCACUCCUCUUGACAGAGCUCUCCUAUCUUGGGGGAGAACUGGAUUUUAAGUACCUGCUCCCAGCAGCUGGAAACAAGGAAAAUGUCCAGGACUACUGUGCUACUCAUCUCUCUGCAAACUAUCAGCGACAACUCCACAGGCAAAGCCGGGGAUGAACUGUUUUAUGUAAUAAAUGUUUGGAUACAUUUUCAAGUAAGGCUUUUUGUAGCAUCCUAAACAGAAGGAUAUUGAAGGGAGCUGAUUCUGCUUUGAUCCUUAUGCUUGUUGUCAAAGCGCUUGGGAUUGAAGAGACUGUUGGCUACAAUUGACUGUGACAAUUAGGAGAUGAUCAGAGCCCUAGAGUGGAGCACUUAAAGGGUUUGCAUUUCAAGGACUCUCAGAGAACUAAUUGUGCCAAAUUCUAGUAACUGCACAUUCUCUUGCUGGAAAGGCUCUAGAAUCACCAAAGCAAAACCAUGGGCUUCUGAAUAGACAUGUACCAGAAAAAGUGCCAAGAACCCCCAGAUUCAGGGCUCUCCGGCUGCUCUUCGUGUGCCGGGGAUGCGGCCCCGGGCGAGCAGAGGCAGCACCCGCUCCCGCUGUGCUCGCAUCAGCCACCGGUGCCUCUCGCCCAAGUGGCAUAAAUGAGCUCAGGACGCCCCUUUGGAGGUCCAAUGGGAGGAGAAGUGAAUCAUGGUGUUGCAGGAGCUGAAAUGCUGAAUGAGAAGAAAAGAAGGGGUGGCAAGUACCUGUUUUGGAAAUAUCUUGUUUGGAUGACACCUAGGUAACAUCAGAGACACCUUUCCCGGGUGGGAGCUCUAAGGCAGAUCAGAGUUGCUGUGGUAACAUCAGUUUCCUGAGUUUCCUUUCUGCACAUGCAUUUAAGUGGGUGACUUUGAAAGAAAAGAGUUGUUCUGUGUGUGCAGUACACCUUCAUGAUUUUUCCCCCCCCUCAUUCCUCAGUUUUUGCUGUUUCACAAGCCUGAAACAAUAGCAGUGGAAACACAAAUAUCCCUUGACUGAUGGUAAGGAAAUAGGUGAGGGUGUGGAAGAGCCUUAGAAUUAAAAAACUGAUGUAAAAGAAGAAAAAAACAUCCCUUGAAUUUGUUUUUGUGAGCAGUGCUAGUUGCCUUGCCAGUCUGAAGCUGGCACUGUGGGUUUGCUGUAAUCACUGAGCUGAGAAAAAGAGACACGGGUUUUGUUUAUUUGUUUGUCAUCAUGGAGUUGAGCAGGACUUAAGCAGUUGAAUGCACAACACUUUUCUCUGCUUUCAUCCUCUUCUCUCUGAUUCUGGAUUCCACAUAAAUUCCCCUCGAUUCCUCCAAUCUGUUUUUUGACCUUCCUUAAGAAUUCAGAUUUAUAUAUAUCACAUGUGAAUAUCAGCUUGGGAAGUGUGCCUUUUUGGUUUUAAAAAUGAAUCGUGAUAAAAAUCAAUUGCAUGUGGGACUUGGAGUGCUUCGCCUGAGUGUCAUUGCCCACGGGAGACCAUGUGUGUUUGUUGCUUUGCUUUGGGGUCAUCCAAGCAGUAACCCUUGUUCUGGCCAGUUGUCAGGUCUAUAGACAGGAUGGCAUCUUAGAUUUGUUGUGGGACAACGUGGCCCAUGGGCAAAUGCCAAGGACUUGAAUCCUGGACACGGUGCAAUGUGCUGCAGCAUCAAGUGUAGACCUUUGGGUUUCAACCAGAAGUUGUUCGAAGGUUAAGAGAAGGAAAUUACACAGUUGAGAGGAAGGAAUAUUGUAAUCAAACAAGAUGGCACAGAACAAUGCCAAGGAAAAAAAAACAUUCCUUUAGUCAACCAAUCCUGACUAGUGCACUUCAUCACCGAAGCCAAUAAUCCUCUUUCUCUUGGAGAGCAGCUUCAAAAGGCCUGUGCUAUCCAAUAUUUUGAAUGCAGCUGACUGAAGAUCAAAUACUGGGACCACAGCACCUUUCUUUCGCUUUGGGAGCAGAGUUUCUGCCUUGCUAGGGUUCUCUGGAUGGAAGGUGGCACCUCCUGCUCAGCAUCCUCCCAGCACUGUGCACUCACUGCUGGCCACAGCCCUGGUUGUAAAGCCUGUGCUAGAGGCAAGGAAAGGGAUGGAAAGCCAUGUGGUGGAAAUAUGUUGCACUCUAGCUUUCCUUGGCUUGCAGAUGGCAAAUUCAUGACUAGAACAAGCUAGCUGGAGCAGCACAAAGGCUGCUGUAAUGUUCUCUCAAAGCUAACCUUUAGGCACACCAGUUAAUGUUUGCCAUGAGCUUGCUAAUUUGCUUGAUGGUUUCUGAGGUCGGAGGAGGUAGCUUUAGCAGUAUGAGUUAUGGAUCUCCCUGUGACUGCAAAUCACACCUUCAGUGAGCCAUUUUCUGUAUUUGUCUCGUACUUUCAGAUCCUGAGCUGGCAAAAUAUAGAGUGAAGUGUGUCAGUCAAGUUGUUGAUUAGCCUUUUCUGUUUACAAACCAAGGCUUCACAAUUUUGACAUGAAGAUGAAAAGAUACCACUUUUUGGACCCCAUGCCCCUGCCUAUGUUACAGUUGCAGCCGAGAGUCUUGCUCUGGCUCACUUUCCAGCUGACUCUUCUGGGAGAAAGGAGGAAGUCUUGAGCUGUGUCGUAUCCCACAGCAGCAGGGAUGAGCAUCACACACCAUCAGGGUUGGGCUGGCAUGAUUAGUGCAGGACAGCACAGCCAGAUGCAACAAUGAGGGUGGGCUGGUGUGUUAUUGGAAGGAGCCCCAGUUACCGUGGCCUUUCCAAAUUCCUGAUGCUCUGGAGUUCUGGCUGCAUGAGAACUUUGCCUGAUCUGCUAGCUAUGCAGUCAACAGAAUGUUCCAGGAAAGCUUGUAUACUUGAAACAAAAACGCUUUGUGCUAGAAACAGGUUAGCUCUGGCAGCAGGGUGUCUCCAGCACCCUUAUACCACAUAUUUCUUAUUUGCAACCCUGCUGUUUUCUCCUUCUCCUUCUCCUUAAUAACUUAACCUUGUUGUCUACUGUGCAGUAUACACAGACUUCCACCAGGUUUCCCUUCUGUGGCACUGGAUGAGAUGCUGGCUAGACCAGACUGUUCCUUAGGAAGAUACAGACAGUCUCAUCUCUAGGGAAACUCUCCAGAAUUACCCACCUAGCUGGACUAUGUGCCUUGACACAUCUGUGAGUCAAUGUGGUGGUGAUACAUUCUGCCAGAUGCUUCCAAAAAAAGGGUUGCCCUGACCCAGAAGUUUUGGUAGUCAUCUCUCUGACAUAGGCCUUAGCCAUCUUUCCGUAGGGCAGUCCCAUGGAGAUUGCAUAUGAGCCAGCAUGAAGCACUCACUCUUUUAAACUGGUUCUUUCACAGCUAAUGCUUAUUCUGACUGGGAUGUCCCAGGCCAUGGUGAUUUCAUGCUGUUGUUUCCAUAGUCAGACAGUGUUUGCAUCCAAGUGUACUACCCCACCAACUGCAAGGAUGUGAGCGUCUGGUGUUCCCUAUAUCAGCCCCUUGCACCUUAGGUUCGCAGCCAAGCCAGUCAUCCUUAUUAAUAGAGGGCUGGAUUUCUGCGGUGAGACGUUGAGGUUAGGUGUCACAGGGUGCAGCCUGGCGAUAAGGGCGUGAUGUCUGCUGUGUUGGAGGACUGGUAGUGAAAGCUCAAGGCAAGUCCAGCCUGGACACAAACGUGGUUAUAGGACUCAUCCUUCCAGGCUCCUCCAAGGUCAAGGGGUAUAUCUGACUCAAGAGGGCAGGUCAUCUGGUGUAUUGGGCUCUCAGCACCGCACUAUCCAGGGGUGGCCAAGCACAAGGGAAGGCAAUCACACAUUUUAAGGUGAAGAAGCCUCUUAUUAACCACCCAAAAUGUGUCCUGGGCAGCCCCACCGUUUCCUGCCAGCUCUGGAGAUAAGCCCACAGCAGGUCAGAGCGAGGGAUCACCGUGCCCCGUCUCUGGCCGUGGUAAACAACAGAUGCCUGGGGAGAAGCAGAAGAGCAGGGGAAGCAGAUAGCGACUUUUCCCAAUCCUCCCCAUUUUCAGCAACUGUUUCGUUAAUCUGAUGGAUCAGCCAAGCCCGUGAGCACGACCUGAACUGUGCUGCUUGUGUGUUCCAUGCGGUGACAGACCCACAGACUCGCAGCAUCCUUGCUAGAGUUGCAGCCAUUUAACAGACAUUUAACUCCAAGGGGUGUGCUGUGCUCGCGUUUUUUGUUGUUAAGAUGGACUGAAGUAUUUUAGCUUAAUGCUUAAUGACAUCGGUGUGGAAAGAGAGGAAAAAACAAAACAAACCAAAACAAAGCAACAAAGCAGUUCCUGUGUCAGGACUGUCUCUAAUCAAUGCAAGAGGAGUCAUCUGCUGCCAGGACAUUUAUUAGCUUGUUUUCAGAGGCUUUCCUAAAAACCACCCAUGAAUAUGAAUAAUCAUAUCAAUGGUUAAAAUUAUUAACUGUGUCUUGGGGUUUCUUUUUGUGUGUUGUUUUUCUUCUUUUUUGACUCCCUCCUGGUCGUGAGGCAGCCAUCCCUGCCGGAAACCUCUGCUUUAAAAGAAGGACUCGCUGGGGUGAAAGGAGUGGGUUUCCUAAGCCGUCGGAUCAAAGCAAAACCUCCCAGCCCUACCAGCACACAGGUUUCCUCCCGCUCCCAGGUUCAAGCCACAUGUCCGGACUGGGCAUCCAGCUCCACAACCUCCCAGGACGCCACAUGUGCUCUGAGCUACCUCAGGAUCUCCCACUUGCGUUUUAAUUUUUUAAACUUAAAAAUAAUUUAGCGGCUCUCUGGCCGAGUUAUCUUGCUGUCGCUGCAAUAUAUGCUGCGUGUCGGACUCCCACAGCCAAAAGCCUCUGUUUCCUUUCUGCCAGUACCUUGGUAUCUGCCUUGCCCAGGAGCCUGCUGAUGAAGAUUUCCUGUUUGUUUUGAGUCACUGCUGGAGUGAUAAAUAUACUUCGGCUCUCUCCUCCAAGAGGAAAGAAACCAGCUGCCCCGAACUAAAGGGAAAAAUAUGUCGAAAUUCCACCAAAGGGCCCUGUUAUCAUGAGGCUUGCAUAGAAGGAUGAAACCGGGUAACACGAGCUGCGGCAAAGGCGCUAUUUCCAUAUUAAAAAAGUCCCUCCGUGCGUGGUGACAUGAGUGGUUUGCCUUUAACCGGCUGCGUUGGCUCCAUAACUUUAAUUUUUAAAAUGGGUUAGAAAUAAAUAAAUAAAUAAACAGCCCCCAUAAACUUACACGGUGGAGUAAUGCUUGGCUGGAUAAACAAACAAUUAUACUUGUGGUUUCUUGAUCUGACCACAAGCUUUAAAUGCCAUAUUUUUGCAUGAACCUAUAAUGCUUCUGGAUAAACAAUUGUGUUUAUAUUGUCAGGAGUAUCCAGCGUGGUGUUGUGUAAUUUCUAUGUGUGAUUACUAGGAUAUAGGAUAAAUUCCAAAAGAAAAGAAAGGAAAGGAAGAUUAGAUUAUUAAGUCAUUUUUAAUAAAAACAGCAUAGUUUGGAAUAGCUUAUAGCUUAAUUUGUAAUUUUAAAAGAAUGCAGCACUGGCUUUUAAGUUUCUACAAUUAUCUUUUCAUCUCAUUUUAUCCUUUUCUUUUUUUUUUACUAGAGAUGGGGCCCAACCCAAGACCUUGAAUCUAAACCCAAGAUCCAGGUUCAGAUCUGAGUUCACAGCUCCAGCCUCAUUCCUAAAGAAGCGGAGUCAGGCCAGCGAGCACCAGCACAAGUCGCUUCUGAAUGUCCCAGCCCAGCACAUGGACACCUUUGUGCUUGUCCCUCCACAGCGCCAGCUUGGAUGGUUUCCCAUGGAGGCAACCGAAAUAACCGUGGAUAUCUGAUUGCAUUACCAACGGCUACCAAGGGCAUCUCUGGGGAAAGAGACGUUACUUAAGGCAAUCAGGGGAGCCGCAUUACAGCAGGACUUGCAAAGAUUCGUGUUUGCAUCUAGUGGCUGCAAGUGCAUUAACUCUUUCAUGUGAAUUUCUCUGCAAGUGUCAUGGUUUCUUCUAUGCAGAAUUCAGUGGACCUCCAGAAAACCAUGUUCAAUUCAAGGUGAGUAGGACAAAGGUACAAAAAUCUGCCUUAUACUCAUUUCUUGAAGAUAAAAAGGCUUUCCAUCAUGGAAUUAUAUGAGUAAAGAUAUAUUGGACUGUGUCCUCUUGGAGUAAUUUGUUGUGACUUUAACAAGUAAGCAACAGUCGGCCUGUGGUGAUGUGGCUCAGAUAACAACUGGAUCCACGAACGUUUAAAUCAAGAGUGUAAUUUUUGAAAUAUUAUUAUUUUCCAGAAGAAAUAAAGUAGUCUUACAUUAUUCUUUUUUUUUCUACCAAGAAUGAUAUUUGGUAGGAAUGACAGCCUUUUUUUCCCCUUUCUCUUGAAUGCUGGCGAACACACCACAAUGCUGUGUAUUGUAAUGAGACAGCAGAGAAGAUGACUCCCAUGCUCAUUACUGUUUCAUUACUUGGUGAUCGUGAGAGCUUAUUUCCAUCAGUGCCUGAUUUCUAUAUUAUCAGGAAAAGGGCAAGGUCUUUGAUGUUCUGAAACAUUCUUCAGCAGUACUAGAAAACUACUUGUUUUCUUCCUUUUCAAGGAUACGUCAGUGGUUUAUAAUUGAUCCAUAGCAGAUCUUUCAGAUUUAACCUUAGGUCAUAUAUAAAAUAUUAAAUACGGCCAUUAUAGAGACUAUGCCUUUUUAGAAAACUGUAUGGGUGUUAGCCUUUAUGUCCUAGACAAAUUCCUAUUUGGGUAAUUAAAUUUUGCCUGCUUUCAUUUUCCAUGCAAUUUUAAUUGGCUACAGUAUUUUUCACUUCCAGUGCAAAGUGAUAGUGCAUUGUCCUGUGUUGUAAAGGAGUUAAUAUGUGCUGAGCUAGAGGUUGCUGCCCUUCGGUAGUAAAGUGAAUCUGUUACGUAUGUUUGAAGAAACGAGCACAGAAAAAUGCCUAAUCCUCUUGAAAUAGGGUACAAAAUUUGUCAGAUGUUUUAGCAUGUUGUAAAAGUUUAAAAUUACAUUAGUGGCAUCCAAGUUAUCACAUACGUAUCCUACAAAGCAGAUUUUCAUAGUGUUCAAAUAUUCGGUAUGCAGCUCAUCAGAUUGCAUUUACCACCGCUACAAAAGGGAAAGGAAUCAAUACAUAUGUAAAUGUGACUCUGGUUUAAAGACCUGUUAUUGGUUUUACUUUCACCAUGCUGAAAGACAUUGGAAACUGCAACAGCGGGUUGGCUUCUCUCUGCCACCAGAGCAAAUGGAGCACACGGCUCACCAGAAGAUGAGCACAAUGAAUCAAGGGCUGGUGUGAAUCAUUUGCAGAAGAUCUUGUUCCAUCUUGAGGAGGUACCUAGAGAUGGAACUCAUUUGAGAGGUUUUCCUGCAUGUUGGAAAUCACAUAGAUUGUUUAAACAUUUAUUAUGGAUUAUAUAUCAUGGAUAAAACUUGUUUUUUUUUUUUUUUUUAAAUUAGGCAAUAAGUAUUGCCAUUAGCACUAAGCUUUGUACAAUUUAGGAAAUCUGAGUCAGUUAUCUGAGGCUGUGAGGUCCAUUUUUCUCCAUCUGUAGAAAAUCAUACAGGUCAUCUAGCAUUAUACUUUUUAGUUUUCUCCUCUUGAAGGUAAAACCAGAUCCAAAAUGUUCACCAAGUCUGAAAAAAAGAGCAGACAAAUAACAUAUUCACUAAGUGGCAGUCCUUGAAGUUGUUUACAUUCAUAUAUAUCAAUAAAAUCAAAAGCCGGGUGUUUUUCUUCAUUCUCUCCUUUGUACAAUGUAUUUGUUUCCUUUGAAAAGAUUUGGCACUGGAGAGAAUAAUGAUUGAAAUCCCGAAGCUGACAGAAUUUGACCCUGACAAGGCCUGAGAAAUUUGGCUGAUCACAGCAAAGGAGCGAGACCAAGGGUGAAGUGCAGAAGGGUGUUGCAAGGAUGUGAACCACUCUUGGGUAACCCCAAAAGAUGUUAAUUGCUCCGAGGUGACAUGUCCUCCAUUAAACUUUGCUCACCCUGAUGUAGGGUGUGGAAACCUGGCAAAGGCAAAGAACACGAGGGGGAUUUUGCAUUGGUUUGCUAACAGAUGCCUGAGGGGGAUCAGCAAGGCCCAUGUGGACAGACGUAAGGAUUUAAACCACUUAGGAGAUAAACAGGUAGUAAGAGAAGGAAGAUGUGAGAGAGAACAGAGACCUGCUCUGCUAUCGGUGUGGAGAGCAAAGGUUGCACGCAUUAGGUAGCUGGGGUUAGGGAGAAAUAGUCCUAAAUCACAAAGGAGCCUCAAUGUCUGAUGAAGAGAUUAACUCCCAAGCCUCCAAGAAAGCGCCUGCCCAUGGUGCAGUUAUAAGCAUGAAUUUAUGUUAAAAUGCAGAGUAUUUUGUAGAAUCAAAAUCUCAGGGAAGAAAUUCUUGUGCAUGAAAUACAGAUAGGUGAUCAAUAGGUAAAGUUAUUAAUGAAAAUAUGAUCAGAGAAUAUUUUGCCUUUUAAAUUCAUUAUUAAAUAGCCACAGUGGACUUUUGGUUUGUUUGUGCUGAGGAACCCAAGAGAGAUCCUCCAGAAUAUUUGAGGACAAUCUAUGGGGAUUUUGGCUCCCGUCUGUAGCUUUCCUCUUGGAAUUUAGUUUUCAUGCUUUAAUCUGCGCAUCACUUUAGGUCAUUUAUUAUCUUAUUAAAUGGAGCUCCCUUCACUGCUCCUGCAUCAAGUUUUAUGGGAAUAAACCCACAAAGCAUCAUGAACAAUGCUAUGCUUUGUAGGCUAAAACAAUGCAAAUGCAACUUUUAACCUUGUGUUUAUGAAAAUAACAAGCAUCCUAUUUUUUUAGGUUCGUGUGUAUGUUCCUGCAUGUUAGAUGCUAUUUUAUGGCACAAAGCACCACGAUGGUGAAAUGCCAUGAUGUGGCACAUACCACCCAGCUCCCCAAGAGUGCUCAUGAGAUGACUUGGCUUGGAGAGCAGUCUACAAAGCUGGUGUUGGCCUUUCAAUAUCAAUCGUUCUGUUUACCACCAUAUUUAAGUGAAUGAGGAGAUCUGUAGUCCUCUCCACUGCCCCGUUUCAGCCAGUUGGCUCUUGAAAACCAGCAGCAAAUUGGUCUGUGUUGUCUCCAGGUCAACACUGAUGUGGGAAAGGAUUAGGAACAGUAAAGAGAAAGGGAAGCCCCAUGUCCUUAGGAUACAUCCAUCUUGAGCAUGUUUAGAUGUCGGUUGGGAUCCCUGGUGCUUUGCUAGUGAGGCAUCCCAGGACCCUGUGCUGUAAGUCAUCGCUGUGAGCAUCUCUCCCAUCGAGGAGGAGCAGGACCCGCAUUUGAGCUGUUUCUGGCACUGUUAUCUCACUGGGUAUGGGGAUGGCUGAGAUAUUUGCUGUUGGUAAAGGAUGAGAACUCAGCAGCAGUUUCUCACUACCUUGUUCUUGGUUCCACAAGCCCAGGAACUUGCAAAUUCAGAGAUCUUUAAUAAAGUAUCCUCAGAGGAAUGAGAAGGGAAAAAAAAUACGUUGUGGACCCCUUAGUCCUAUACAAUAACUGCUUGGUCACUUGGAUAUUUAGCAGCAUUAAUGAAAUGGAGCCUCAAUUACAUCCUCAAGAGCAAGGAAAUAAUAUCGGUCCGUCUCCCUUCCCUCCCCACACAAUUUGCAGAUGGGGUAAAGGUAGCGCAGCAAGGAGGGGGCUGAUGAUUUCUCAUAUGAUGAGAUGGCAUGUAUUUCCCCUUCUCUCUCUUCCCCUCCGCCUGUCCCAAAUGCCUGAAAAUGUCACUUUUUGUCUGAGUAUCUUUCAAUACACUGACGUAGAGCAUCUGGAAAAAACAAAGUUUUUGAUCUGAAGUAAUAGUCUCUGAGAAUUCAUCGAAUAUAACAUUUCUUUUUCUUUCCAAACUUUUUUUUUCUGUAUCAGAUUCCCAAAUUGUUAAUCUUUCAACUACUAUAUGACUCUAUUAUGACUCUGUCCAGUGAUUAACGUGGGCUUAAUAACUUUGUCUGGUGAACGUUGGUGUAAAGGAGUGACUGCUGCUGACUGCGUCCCUAUUAAUGAUGCAUUUUGAUUGGUUUGGAGAGCAAUUCAUUGUUUGCUUCACCUACUCAGAAACAGCUUUUCUGUGAAAAGACAGAGUAAGACUGUAUUUUUAGGAACAAUCUGUUUUCUGUCUGUAAUUAAUCUGUUCCGGAUUGUUUGGCUACUUUGGUCGGUGUAUCACAAACUAGACUAUUAUGCUCAAAGUUACUUUUGGGACAUUCAGUAACAGCUGCUUUUGAAAGCACCAAGAGCAACCCCUGUAAAUCACUGUGGUUUUGAGUAACUAUCUAGCUUUGCUCGAACCAUGCCAGGUUUCUGUAACAAGCUGAUGAGCUAUCACAGGGUAAAAAAACGUAUCCUUGAUUCACACCUCUCUGGUGUAAAUCCUGUUCCAAUUUUCAAAACACCUUGCUAUAACAGUGUUGGACAGAGGAAUUCUUGAGGCUAAGUGACAUUUACAGCCUAUGAUACUAGUGUAUCUGCACUGUGUAUCCAUCAACAUUUGGCAUUUAAGAAAAUCUGCUCAUCCUUGCAUCGCCUGUUAAACACUCACUCUAUUAGAAAAAAAGAAAAGAAAAUCAUCCUCUUCACAUUUGAAUUUUUAAUGGGCAAAAAGGGGGUCAGUUUGACUGCAAUGGCAUGAAAUCAGCCCCAAAUGACCUCAGGCAAUUGUACACCUGGAAGCAAAAGGUGGGUUAAAGUGACAUUUUUUGUGUGUGUCCACAAGUCAAUGCUGGAAUAACUUGCACUCUUCAGCGUGCGCAGCUGUAUUAUCCCGGGGCAGGUUUUGGCACGGUGUGACUACACAUCUGUCAGAUCGCUUGGACAUCCAUAGGCAAAAUGUAGCACUCGGGAACAUCGUGUGGAUUUGGGAUGUUUCCUGCAGGACCUGGGAAGUGCAGAAGGACGAUGGGAUCGCGUUCUCACCGCAGCCAGCGCUCCUCGCUGCCCAUCACCCUCUGCACGCUGAGGAACAGGACAAAAGCACUUCUGUCCACAGGUGAUUUUAGACUCUGCUUCAAAACUUCAUUCUUAAGUCAAAAACACUUUUUUGUUGUUUUUUUUUUUUUUAGUUCGAUGCAUUCUUAAUUUAAAACUGCUUGUGCGAUCUCUCUGGUUUAUUCCAAAUAACAGUCCCCAGGGGGUGUUUGAAUUCAUGUUAAGGACAUACAGGUUUGUCUGACUUGGUUUGUUUUUUGGGAACGUAAGCUGAGCAUUCAACUAUGAUUGCUGAAAGCUAAUCUAGGGCUUUGGCCAUGGGUCAGGUUCCUUUUUUUUCCCCUUCUACUUCCUAUGUUGCUUCAGCCAUUUCUAUGUCAUCUUUUCUUCCUGGGCUAUCAUGCUGUAGUGGUUCAGCUCCUUAUUUUAUUAUGUCCUCAAAACUGAUGGCAUUUCCAAGGUGAUCUGCUUUGUGGCUUCUUCUCCAGAGCUCUUCAUACCCUCUCUGUGCUUUGCCAUGGCCUGGGCUGGAGCUGGAGCCCUGAAACCAGGUGGUUCCUGCACCUGCCUCUGCCACUUGCAUCCGAGAUCGCUGCCACAUCUUUUAAUGCAUAAUACAUUUUGGGAUGCAGUUUGUGUGCUACUCUGUAAAUUACGGUUGUAUUGUUCAUACAGCAAAUAAAUUUUUAAUUCAUAACCCUGGGACAAGUGAAAUGAGCACAAUUUUUCUUUAAUUUUUGUAAAGCGAGGGUGAAUGCAGCAGAGUGGAAAAGGUUUUUCUUCUUCACAGAGUCGCGUUGCAGCGUUGGGGGCUGAGUCGUGCGUGUUGGUGGAACGAGAUGCAAGGCAGAUGCGCUCGCUUUGAUCAGUUUUGGGGGGGGUUUGUGCGGUGGUGUAGCUCACAGUGGAGCUGGCACAGCUUCCAGGCCUGGGGUUAAGUUGCUCAGUUUGGUUCAAUUGGUAAUUAAUAAAAGCAAUGGCCAAUUUGACUUUAUACCAUGUGUCUGCCUGUGUGGAACCUGGCACACACAAACCCUGUUUCUACCGAGCAAGAUGGUCAGUGUAUUUAUUUUUUUGAUGUGCACAUUAUUUUUGGAACAUGUGAAGUUUUGAUCAAGGGGAAGAAGCCUCCUGAAAUAAGUUUAAAAUAGUCGUUAAACGUGACUUUCAAAACGUUUAUUAAGUUCUGGUAUAGAUGCGUCUCCUGUAGCUUCCAGAUUUUGAGUAGACAGGUCCAUCAGAGCUUCAGGACAACAUCUCAGCAGUUGGGUUGUCUCGUAAACCCAGGAGGGGCCAUCACCAAUUUGGUGCAAGACUUUCCACCCCCCACAACCCCUCCAAAGAGGAACAUCUGCUCCUUAGCAUGCUGCUCAUUUCCAUGGCAGGACUCCAGUCGCUCUUCCAACACGGAGCUCGGCAAUAGUAGCGCUGGUGUCUGAGCUCUGGAACAAACCAAGUGUUUUGCGGGUGCUUUUGUGUGCCAUGAGUUAUUUCUACUGUGCGCUUAUUGAUAAUAAUGGGCAUUCAUUAUGAUGAGAGAGCCUUUUUGCUCAGGAAUCAUCACAGUGCAUGCUGUAAAUGCAUCGUGACAAUAGUUUGCGUUUGUAUAUUAUGGAGUUGUAAUAUGUAUUUAUUUAUGUUUAUAAAACCGUAAUACCAAAUGCAUACUAAAAAAAAAAAACAACCAACAAACCAACCAACCCUUAGGAAAUUGCAUGAACAGUAGUUCCAUUUAAAAUAUCAUAUCUUGGCCAAUUUUGUUAUGUCCAAAUAUCCUAGUCACAUUGUAGACUAACAGCCUGCCAAAUUUCGCUUAAAAGCACAGCCAAUUUUUAAGUUACAGAAGCACAAAGAGCAGUGGAAUGUUCUUUUUUAGGACUCCUCUAACUUAAACAAAAAUUAUAAGGUUUUUAUUGUUUUGCU